GCUGGCGGCACGCCUUAUACAUGCAAGUCGAACGCAGUAGCAAUACUGAGUGGCAGACGGGUGAGUAUAAUGUGGGAAUCUGCCUUUUGGUUUGGAAUAACUCGGGGAAACUUGAGCUAAUACCGGAUAAGCCCUUACGGGGAAAGCUUUAUGCGCCGAAAGAUGAGCCCGCACUUGAUUAGCUUGUUGGUGAGGUAAUGGCUCACCAAGGCAACAAUCAAUAGCUGUUCUUAGAGGAAGACCAGCCACAUUGGGACUGAGACACGGCCCAGACUCCUACGGGAGGCAGCAGUAAGGAAUCUUGCACAAUGGGGGAAACCCUGAUGCAGCGAUGCCGCGUGAGUGAAGAAGGCCUUUGGGUUGUAAAACUCUUUCGUUGGGGAAGAAAAUGACUGUACCCAAAUAAGAAGGUCCGGCUAACUUCGUGCCAGCAGCCGCGGUAAUACGAAGGGACCUAGCGUAGUUCGGAAUUACUGGGCUUAAAGAGCUCGUAGGUGGUUAAAAAAGUUGAUGGUGAAAUCCCAAGGCUCAACCUUGGAACUGCCAUCAAAACUGUUUAGCUAGAGUGUGAUAGAGGAAAGUGGAAUUUCUAGUGUAGAGGUGAAAUUCGUAGAUAUUAGAAAGAACACCAAAAGCGAAGGCAACUUUCUGGAUCACUACUGACACUGAAGAGCGAAAGCAUGGGUAGCGAAGAGGAUUAGAUACCCUCGUAGUCCAUGCUGUAAACGAUGUGUGCUAGACGUUGGAAAUUUAUUUUUCAGUGUCGCAGCAAAAGCGUUAAGCACACCGCCUGGGGAGUACG
Molecule: ribosomal RNA, 802 nt
Filed under: uncultured Pelagibacteraceae bacterium
Lineage: Bacteria; Pseudomonadati; Pseudomonadota; Alphaproteobacteria; Candidatus Pelagibacterales; Candidatus Pelagibacteraceae
Description: bacterial SSU rRNA
Rfam family: Bacterial small subunit ribosomal RNA
Source: RNAcentral